Long non-coding RNA from Sinocyclocheilus rhinocerous, 507 nucleotides. RefSeq lists it as uncharacterized. The transcript has 3 exons. The record is from RefSeq and is a predicted model, not a curated record. NCBI's taxonomy places the organism in Eukaryota, Metazoa, Chordata, Actinopteri, Cypriniformes, Cyprinidae.
GGUGUGAACGGGCUUUAAAGGGCCUUAGUUCAUGUUCGAGUAGGCCUCUCUACACAAACUCUUUACUCACAAACACUCACUCACACACACAGAAUCUCCGUCCCUCUUGCUCUGCUUGGCUUCAUAUUUCUCCAUUACUCAGGCGAACCUGAUGUUCAUGAAUCCCGCCACGAGGAGGCGCACUAACAUAGAACACGCUUUCAAUGACACAAGACUGUGAAGCCGCAGAUCUUGGCUGCCAUGAGCAAACUACCAACGCCAGAGCCCAGCUGGUGCUGAACAGCCCCCCAGCCGCACGCUUUUCGAGUGGGCCAUUAAAAUGUGGCUUGUUCUUAUUUAAUCCCCGUGUGUAUGAAGGCCGCAUACGCUGUCCUACCGCCAGCGCACCACGUGAACCAAGCAGUCCCUAGACAGAGGGCAAGUCCUCCUUAACACACCCAGCUAGGACAGCGGUCAGCCAUUAGUAUCCCUCAACCAGCCUAAUCGCGCCAGUGGGCAUCCUGGCAC